GGAGUUGUGGCUCUGUGGUAGAGUGCUUGCCUAGCAUGCGUGAGGCACUGAGUUCGAUUCUCAGCACCA
This 69-nucleotide transfer RNA is filed under the name Ictidomys tridecemlineatus (thirteen-lined ground squirrel). RNAcentral describes it as "Spermophilus tridecemlineatus (thirteen-lined ground squirrel) tRNA". It matches the Rfam family "tRNA". From Rfam's summary of the family: Transfer RNA (tRNA) molecules are approximately 80 nucleotides in length. Their secondary structure includes four short double-helical elements and three loops (D, anti-codon, and T loops). Further hydrogen bonds mediate the characteristic L-shaped molecular structure. tRNAs have two regions of fundamental functional importance: the anti-codon, which is responsible for specific mRNA codon recognition, and the 3' end, to which the tRNAs corresponding amino acid is attached (by aminoacyl-tRNA synthetases). tRNAs cope with the degeneracy of the genetic code in two manners: having more than one tRNA (with a specific anti-codon) for a particular amino acid; and 'wobble' base-pairing, i.e. permitting non-standard base-pairing at the 3rd anti-codon position. The record is from Rfam by way of RNAcentral. Lineage: Eukaryota; Metazoa; Chordata; Mammalia; Rodentia; Sciuridae.